RNAcentral lists this ribosomal RNA (301 nucleotides) under uncultured bacterium. RNAcentral's name for it is "partial 16S ribosomal RNA". It matches the Rfam family "Bacterial small subunit ribosomal RNA", at positions 509 to 807 of the family's 1533-position model. The record is from RNAcentral.
CAGCAGCCGCGGUAAUACGAAGGGGGCUAGCGUUGCUCGGAAUCACUGGGCGUAAAGGGUGCGUAGGCGGGUCUUUAAGUCAGAGGUGAAAUCCCGGAGCUCAACUCCAGAACUGCCUUUGAUACUGAGGAUCUUGAGUUCGGGAGAGGUGAGUGGAACUGCGGGUGUAGAGGUGAAAUUCGUAGAUAUUCGCAAGAACACCAGUGGCGAAGGCGGCUCACUGGCCCGGUACUGACGCUGAGGCACGGAAGCGUGGGGAGCAAACAGGAUUAGAUACCCCUGUAGUCCCUGUCUCUUAUAC